This 57-nucleotide ribosomal RNA is filed under the name uncultured bacterium. RNAcentral describes it as "partial 16S ribosomal RNA". The record is from RNAcentral.
GGGACCUAACCCGACGAAGGGGGCAGCCGCCUAAAGUGUUGAUCGGUAAUUGGGGUG